This 552-nucleotide ribosomal RNA is filed under the name Escherichia coli. Its description in RNAcentral is "partial 23S ribosomal RNA". It matches the Rfam family "Bacterial large subunit ribosomal RNA", at positions 638 to 1191 of the family's 2925-position model. Lineage: Bacteria; Pseudomonadati; Pseudomonadota; Gammaproteobacteria; Enterobacterales; Enterobacteriaceae. The record is from RNAcentral.
UAGCAAGGUUAACCGAAUAGGGGAGCCGAAGGGAAACCGAGUCUUAACUGGGCGUUAAGUUGCAGGGUAUAGACCCGAAACCCGGUGAUCUAGCCAUGGGCAGGUUGAAGGUUGGGUAACACUAACUGGAGGACCGAACCGACUAAUGUUGAAAAAUUAGCGGAUGACUUGUGGCUGGGGGUGAAAGGCCAAUCAAACCGGGAGAUAGCUGGUUCUCCCCGAAAGCUAUUUAGGUAGCGCCUCGUGAAUUCAUCUCCGGGGGUAGAGCACUGUUUCGGCAAGGGGGUCAUCCCGACUUACCAACCCGAUGCAAACUGCGAAUACCGGAGAAUGUUAUCACGGGAGACACACGGCGGGUGCUAACGUCCGUCGUGAAGAGGGAAACAACCCAGACCGCCAGCUAAGGUCCCAAAGUCAUGGUUAAGUGGGAAACGAUGUGGGAAGGCCCAGACAGCCAGGAUGUUGGCUUAGAAGCAGCCAUCAUUUAAAGAAAGCGUAAUAGCUCACUGGUCGAGUCGGCCUGCGCGGAAGAUGUAACGGGGCUAAACCAUG